RNAcentral lists this unclassified non-coding RNA (331 nucleotides) under Hevea brasiliensis (rubber tree). The record is from RNAcentral. Lineage: Eukaryota; Viridiplantae; Streptophyta; Magnoliopsida; Malpighiales; Euphorbiaceae.
GAACUUCAACGCGUCGCCUUCGGCGAUGUGCUUGGAGGUGUCUUCCGUGAGGCCGCGCAAUUCGGCGAGCUUCGCCUUCAGGCCCUUGUAGCCCUUGUGCGGCGGAUUGUAGCCCUCGAGUGCCGCCGAAGCGUCCUUCGCCGUGGAGACGUUGACAAGCACCUCGACCGGAUCGACCGGAUGUUCGGGAUAGGAGAUAUCCGCGCUGACGCGCGAGAAGUGCAUGCGGCCGCUCUGGGCGUGGCGCGCGUAGUCGAGNNNNNNNNNNNNNGCGCAGUUCGGCCUCGGCCUGUGCGUCAGGCGUGGAAGCCGCGGCGAAAUCCGGCGUCGG